UGGGGAAUUUUGGACAAUGGGCGCAAGCCUGAUCCAGCCAUGCCGCGUGAGUGAAGAAGGCCUUCGGGUUGUAAAGCUCUUUCGGCCGGGAAGAAAUCGUGUUCUCUAACAUAGGACAUGGAUGACGGUACCGGACUAAGAAGCACCGGCUAACUACGUGCCAGCAGCCGCGGUAAUACGUAGGGUGCGAGCGUUAAUCGGAAUUACUGGGCGUAAAGCGUGCGCAGGCGGUUUUGUAAGACAGAUGUGAAAUCCCCGGGCUUAACCUGGGAACUGCGUUUGUGACUGCAAGGCUGGAGUACGGCAGAGGGGGGUGGAAUUCCACGUGUAGCAGUGAAAUGCGUAGAGAUGUGGAGGAACACCGAUGGCGAAGGCAGCCCCCUGGGCCUGUACUGACGCUCAUGCACGAAAGCGUGGGGAGCAAACA
RNAcentral lists this ribosomal RNA (427 nucleotides) under uncultured bacterium. RNAcentral's name for it is "bacterial SSU rRNA". It matches the Rfam family "Bacterial small subunit ribosomal RNA", at positions 355 to 774 of the family's 1533-position model. The record is from RNAcentral.